Echeneis naucrates (live sharksucker) is the source of this 299-nucleotide unclassified non-coding RNA. It matches the Rfam family "Metazoan signal recognition particle RNA". From Rfam's summary of the family: The signal recognition particle (SRP) is a universally conserved ribonucleoprotein. It is involved in the co-translational targeting of proteins to membranes. The eukaryotic SRP consists of a 300-nucleotide 7S RNA and six proteins: SRPs 72, 68, 54, 19, 14, and 9. The record is from Ensembl. NCBI's taxonomy places the organism in Eukaryota, Metazoa, Chordata, Actinopteri, Carangiformes, Echeneidae.
GCCGGGUGCGGUGGCGCGCGCCUGUAAUCCAAGUUCCCGGGAGGCUGAGGCUGGAGGAGCGUUUGAGCUCAGGAGCUCUGGGCUGCAGCGGACUAUGUCGAUCGGGUGUCCGCACUAAGUUCGGUAUCGAUAUGGUGCUCCGGGGGGAGCCCGGGAUCACCAGGUCGUCUAAGGAGGGGUGCACCGGCCCAGGUCGGACACGGAGCAGGUCAAAGCCCCCGUGCCGCUCAGUAGUGGGAUCGCGCCCGUGAAUAGACGCUGUAGUUCAGCCUGAGUAAGACAGCGGGACCCAGUCUUUA